GUUAGCAUAGCUUAAAGGUAAAGCAAAGCACUGUUAAUGCUUACAUAGAAGUUCGAUUCUUCUUGUUAACG
RNAcentral lists this transfer RNA (71 nucleotides) under Pneumocystis sp. 'macacae'. RNAcentral's name for it is "tRNA-Asn". It matches the Rfam family "tRNA". Rfam says of the family: Transfer RNA (tRNA) molecules are approximately 80 nucleotides in length. Their secondary structure includes four short double-helical elements and three loops (D, anti-codon, and T loops). The record is from RNAcentral. Lineage: Eukaryota; Fungi; Ascomycota; Pneumocystomycetes; Pneumocystales; Pneumocystaceae.